GCGCGAAAACUUUACAAUGCUGGCAACAGCGAUAAGGGAACCUCGCGUGCCAGGUUACAAAUCUGGCUGUCGAGAUGCCUAAAAAGCAUUUCAUAGCAAGGGCCGGGCAAGACCGGUGCCAGCCGCCGCGGUAACACCGGCGGCUCGAGUGGUAACCGUUAUUAUUGGGUCUAAAGGGUCUGUAGCCGGCCGGAUAAGUCUCUUGAGAAAUCUGGCAGCUUAACUGUCAGGCUUUCAGGAGAUACUGUCUGGCGCGAGGCCGGGAGAGGUGAGAGGUACUUCAGAGGUAGGGGUGAAAUCUUGUAAUCCUUGAAGGACCACCAGGGGCGAAGGCGUCUCACCAGAACGGACCUGACGGCAAGGGACGAAAGCUAGGGGCACGAACCG
Molecule: ribosomal RNA, 387 nt
Filed under: uncultured bacterium
Lineage: Bacteria
Description: bacterial SSU rRNA
Rfam family: Archaeal small subunit ribosomal RNA
Source: RNAcentral